UACGUAGGGCGCAAGCGUUGUCCGGAAUUAUUGGGCGUAAAGAGCUCGUAGGCGGUCUGUCGCGUCUGCCGUGAAAACCCGAGGCUUAACCUCGGGCCUGCGGUGGAUACGGGCAGACUAGAGGUAGGUAGGGGAGAAUGGAAUUCCCGGUGUAGCGGUGAAAUGCGCAGAUAUCGGGAGGAACACCGGUGGCGAAGGCGGGUCUCUGGGCCGUAACUGACGCUGAGGAGCGAAAGCGUGGGGAGCGAACAGG
RNAcentral lists this ribosomal RNA (253 nucleotides) under uncultured bacterium. RNAcentral's name for it is "partial 16S ribosomal RNA". It matches the Rfam family "Bacterial small subunit ribosomal RNA", at positions 524 to 776 of the family's 1533-position model. The record is from RNAcentral.